RNAcentral lists this unclassified non-coding RNA (214 nucleotides) under uncultured fungus. RNAcentral describes it as "sequence contains ITS1, 5.8S rRNA gene". The stretch from base 166 to 214 matches the Rfam family "5.8S ribosomal RNA", at positions 1 to 49 of the family's 154-position model. Lineage: Eukaryota; Fungi. The record is from RNAcentral.
UCUCCGUUGGUGAACCAGCGGAGGGAUCAUUAUAGAGUUUUUAACUCCCAAACCCAUGUGAACCUACUAUUUUGUUGCCUCGGCGGGUUCGCCCGCCAGAGGACCUACCUAAAACCCUUUGCAAUACCUGCAGUACUGUCUGAUAGCGAAAGCAAUUUAAAUCAAAACUUUCAACAACGGAUCUCUUGGUUCUGGCAUCGAUGAAGAACGCAGC